Long non-coding RNA from Mercurialis annua (annual mercury), 423 nucleotides. RefSeq lists it as uncharacterized. The record is from RefSeq and is a predicted model, not a curated record. NCBI's taxonomy places the organism in Eukaryota, Viridiplantae, Streptophyta, Magnoliopsida, Malpighiales, Euphorbiaceae. The transcript is spliced from 3 exons.
GAAAAGGUUACAGAGAACAAAAGCCAUCAUCGCCAUUUUCUUUCUCUUUUGCGCGCGAUGAACGACGACAUCCAUAACUCCACGAUCCGAGCUCCGUUUUCGAUGAUUUAAAUUGCAAUGGAUAGCUAACUCAAUGAGAAAUAAGAUACGACGAAUUAUCAAGUUACGGACUUGACGAACCAAGAUAGCUUGACGGGGAUCGACGUUAUAUUUUAUUAUUUUGGAUUAUUAGCGAUCCAGGUAACUGGAGUCGGAUCAGACAGACCAUUCUCUUUGUGCGCGAAGUCGAUUGGCUUGCACAAUGUAAAAAUUCAUUAGAGCUGCAGUAGUCCGUAUGAGUCAGUAUAUAAAUUGUGAAUUGUUUUUAAAUAGUUUAUUUAAAACGUAAACUACGAUAUAAUAUUUUAAUAUCUAUAAUUGUAU